Molecule: ribosomal RNA, 400 nt
Filed under: uncultured bacterium
Lineage: Bacteria
Description: bacterial SSU rRNA
Rfam family: Bacterial small subunit ribosomal RNA
Source: RNAcentral
UGGGGAAUAUUGCACAAUGGGGGAAACCCUGAUGCAGCGACGCCGCGUGAGUGAAGAAGUAUUUCGGUAUGUAAAGCUCUAUCAGCAGGGAAGAAAAUGACGGUACCUGACUAAGAAGCCCCGGCUAACUACGUGCCAGCAGCCGCGGUAAUACGUAGGGGGCAAGCGUUAUCCGGAUUUACUGGGUGUAAAGGGAGCGUAGGUGGCAUGGUAAGCCAGAAGUGAAAACCCAGGGCUCAACUCUGUUGAUUGCUUUUGGAACUAUCAAGCUAGAGUGCUGGAGGGGUAAGCGGAAUUCCUAGUGUAGCGGUGAAAUGCGUAGAUAUUAGGAGGAACACCGGUGGCGAAGGCGGCUUACUGGACAGAAACUGACACUGAGGCUCGAAAGCGUGGGGAGCAA